This 497-nucleotide ribosomal RNA is filed under the name uncultured bacterium. Its description in RNAcentral is "partial 16S ribosomal RNA". It matches the Rfam family "Bacterial small subunit ribosomal RNA", at positions 28 to 507 of the family's 1533-position model. The record is from RNAcentral.
GAUGAACGCUGGCGGCGUGCCUAAUACAUGCAAGUCGAGCGAACAGACGAGAAGCUUGCUCCUCUGACGUUAGCGGCGGACGGGUGAGUAACACGUGGAUAACCUACCUAUAAGACUGGGAUAACUUCGGGAAACCGGAGCUAAUACCGGAUGAUAUUUUGAACCGCAUGGUUCAAUAGUGAAAGACGGUUUUGCUGUCACUUAUAGAUGGAUCCGCGCCGCAUUAGCUAGUUGGUAAGGUAACGGCUUACCAAGGCGACGAUGCGUAGCCGACCUGAGAGGGUGAUCGGCCACACUGGAACUGAGACACGGUCCAGACUCCUACGGGAGGCAGCAGUAGGGAAUCUUCCGCAAUGGGCGAAAGCCUGACGGAGCAACGCCGCGUGAGUGAUGAAGGUCUUCGGAUCGUAAAACUCUGUUAUUAGGGAAGAACAAAUGUGUAAGUAACUGUGCACGUCUUGACGGUACCUAAUCAGAAAGCCACGGCUAACUACGUG